RNAcentral lists this ribosomal RNA (584 nucleotides) under Saccharomycopsis fibuligera. Its description in RNAcentral is "LSU rRNA". It matches the Rfam family "Eukaryotic large subunit ribosomal RNA", at positions 50 to 654 of the family's 3401-position model. The record is from RNAcentral. Lineage: Eukaryota; Fungi; Ascomycota; Saccharomycetes; Ascoideales; Saccharomycopsidaceae.
ACGGAGGAAAAGAAACCAACAGGGAUUGCCUUAGUAACGGCGAGUGAAGCGGCAAAAGCUCAAAUUUGAAAGCUAGCACCUUCGGUGUUCGCGUUGUAAUUUGAAGAUAGUUUCCUUGAGUAGUCCUUUAUCUAUGUUCCUUGGAACAGGACGUCAUAGAGGGUGAGAACCCCGUAUGAUUUUGGAUACUACUCUUUGUGGGAUUCUAUCGAAGAGUCGAGUUGUUUGGGAAUGCAGCUCUAAGUGGGUGGUAAAUUCCAUCUAAAGCUAAAUAUUGGCGAGAGACCGAUAGCGAACAAGUACAGUGAUGGAAAGAUGAAAAGAACUCUGAAGAGAGAGUGAAAAAGUACGUGAAAUUGCUGAAAGGGAAGGGCUUGAGGUCAGACUUGGUGUUUAAUGAUUAUCAGUUCUUCUUGGACUGUGCACUCGUUUUUCACCGGGCCAAUAUCAGUUUUAGCGGUAGAGUACCCCUUGAAAUGUGGCUUCCUUCGGGGAGUGUUAUAGUCUUGGGGAGAUCUACUUGCUGGGACUGAGGACUGCGCUUCGGCAAGGAUAUUGGCGUAAUGACCUUAAGCCGCCCGUCU